Cercocebus atys (sooty mangabey) is the source of this 4305-nucleotide long non-coding RNA. RefSeq lists it as uncharacterized. Lineage: Eukaryota; Metazoa; Chordata; Mammalia; Primates; Cercopithecidae. The record is from RefSeq and is a predicted model, not a curated record. The transcript has 2 exons.
UUUAGUGUCAAAUUCUGCCUCGGAGGGCUUCCUGAGCUGCUUCCAAGGUAGGUUUCUGGAUGGCUGAACCCAUGGCAAGCACUUUUCUGAGGAUGCAUGUGACUGACCUACUAACUUUAGAGUCCAGGCUGACCCUCAAACAACUUCCUGGGGCGCUACCAGCUUUAGGAAAAUCGAGAGAGGUUGUUGGGAUGCCCUAAUGUUUUAGAAGUUAAGAUUGAAAUACACAUGGCUGACUUCUUUUUUCAUUCCUAUCAAAUUCAACCUUGCAGUUGAAUCUUGGGCAUCUAGAAGCAUCUUUAAUAGUCAGCCCUCGGGAUACAGAAGAGAACAGAAACAGGACUCUGUGUGAUCCCUGGUUUACUAACCCACAGCAGCCUCACACCCUCCAGAGAAUUCCUUUAAGGGAAUCCCAGGUUUACCAAGGAGGCAGUGCUUAGCCUGCUUUUGCAGACACAUUUGUGUGUGGUUUGCUUCAUUUUUAAUGACUCAUGUGCCACUGACAUCUUUGCAUUAUUAAGUAUUGCCUGCAUGGCCAGCUGAGCACAGGAAGUGGUAUUUCUGUGCGCACUAAUCCUGGGUUGGUGAACCUGGGGUUGGCUGGAGAGCAUGGGUUUGAGCCACCUGGUCCACUCAUCCUCAGGGUCCCAUCCACCCUCAGAGGCCACUCCCAAGCUGCCCAGGCUGUGCAGAAGAUGCAGGAAUGCUGUGAGCAGUGCCACCUCAUGGUACUCGGAGGGAGGUUGUCCGUGGUGAGUUCGCAUUAUUUAAUGAUGCCCAAUACACGGUCGACCUCUUUUCGGUAUCAGAUCUCACCAGGUGUCUUCUUGGACCUGAUGCCGAUUUAGGGGACACCAUACUCAUGUUGGUUCCACACCAGUGCAACUGAACAUGUGUUUGGCCCUGUAACCAAUGGGUAGGUGCUGCUAGCACUCCUAAUCCUCAAUCAGUGCAUUCCUGGGGAAGAAGCAUGUGAUCUGUGCUCAAGACCCCUCUGUGACUGAGGAAGUGGUGGUGCCCAUGUUGCUUCCUGGGUUUUGUAUUUUUUCAAAGAAAAAUAAUAUAUAGUUCUCUUCUCUUUCACUGUUAAAUCUUGUCAUGGAGGAAGGACUUCUUAGACAUGUUGACAAAUUCAGGGAAGGGGCAUUGAUUUCAGUGUUUUUGGGGACUCACUGGAAGGGUGAUUCACCACAUCUGUUGAUCUGGAGGCCACAUCAAAUUUAAGAACAGAGGAUAGUUGCAUUUUCAAUUUCUUGUUUUUCUUUUCAAAAAGGAUAAUUAUUCUACCUUAUUACCAUAUUUAUAAAAAUGACACAUGCUUAUGAUAAAAUUCAAGCGAUGUGGAAAAAUCUAAAUGAAAAAGAGGGAAAAUUGCCCAAUUCUCUGGGCACCCAGAAAUAACCAUUAAGGGCUUUAGAAAUUUCAUACACCUGUCUGAGCAUACAUGCAAACAGAAAAACAAGACAGACACAGAGAAAAUAUGAGAUCACACUGUACCUAAUCAUUUUAUUAAAAAUGCUAACUAUAAUUUUACUUCAAUUUAUCAUAAAGAACAAGCUAAAGGAGAUUGAAAUGAUUGAUAAAUAUUUCUCGCUUCACCGCCAGAGGUAACAACUCCUAAAAGAUCCCCGUAAAAUUAAGAAAAAUUAGUGUGUAAAAAUUAAGUGGUUGGGAUUGUUAUGGUUUUUAACUAUUUCAGUUUCAGUCCUAGUUCAGAAAGAUAAAGAAGUCAGCACUCUUAUUCUUUGCUUAUUAUCUCCUGCUUUUUCUCAGUUAUAUAUUUUAAUUUUACAUAAUUAAUAUCUGCAAUUUGUUCUAGAACUAUAAUUCUUGCAAGUGUUUAGCCAUAGUCCUAUAUUUAAAUGAAUUCAUUUCUGACCACAAGGUUGGUUUGUUUGUUUUAACUGAGGUUUCUCCAUUCUUUAGUUUUCAACUUUAAUUUGUCUCUCAGUGGAAUUGAUCUUAUUGUUUCUGUGAGAAUAGCUCAUAGACACUACCCUUGAGUUCUGGUGCAUUUACGAAUAUGUAUCUCUUUCUUUUAUGCAUAAGGGACAGCUUAGCUAGGUAUAAAAGUCUCAGCCUACUUGUUUUUUCUCAGAAAUUUAUAGCUGUUGUCCACUGUCUUUUGCAUUGAGGCUUUCACUAGCUGUCUUAAUGUGGCUUCUCCAUGUAGCCCUUACUUACCUGGACUAUUUUAUGUAGUGAUCUUCACAAACCUUGUUAGAAACACUUUGGGAUACUAUGUUCUGUGAGGUAUUUCAUCUUUGAGAAUGUCUGACCAUUGCUUUUACACCUUUUCUCAUCUGUCCAUUUCUUUUCAUGCUGUUCUAUUUGGCCUUUAAAGAUAUGUAUUGUACAAUUUCUUUCAGCUUUAGGGAUACAAGCCCCUUUCUUUGUUGAAUCUAUUGACUCUCAUGAUGGUGCUUUUCUUUGUGGUUUUUGUAGCUUUGUGUUGUGAGGUUAUCAUCAGUUGAGCACUAAGGUGUUUCUGUUUUGUUUCAAUCCCUAUGUACAUGAGUUUGCAUUUGGUUCUGCCUGGCACCCCAAGGAAUUUACCAGUUGGUGCCAGUUUUCUAACUCAUUUUGUUGGCUUACGGAUUCCCAGACAUAUGGUUGGCAUAAGUCUUCACCAUAUCUUUGUCCUGAAGCUUUGGUAUCUCACAGGAGACCUCUUUCUAUCCACUCCCUAAAAAUGACAAAUGCUCUUAUCAUCCCUGGCUAUUAUAAAAUUUUCUGGUUCCCUUUUCCAUUCCUAGAUCAACUUCUCCUGGACCCACGGUCAUGUCUUUUUAUUCUGCUUAUACUUGAACUUGACUAUAGACUCUUGGAGCCUCUAGCCAGCACAGCACCCCUUAGGUCCCUUAGUAGGAGGUUGCAAACAUGUUGCUCUGAACUCGUUUUUUUCAUUAACACCUGAGGGUUUUGCCUUUCAGUUGUAUGUUUAUUUGGGAAUUGAUUUUGGCUGUGGUUGCAUUUUAUCCAACACUUCUCAACAUUUUUGGAGGAGAGGGUUCCUUACCAGCGCUUGUUGCUGGGAUGGAGCCUUUGAGCUGAAUGAUGGGUGAACUUGGCAUGACAUUCUUGGCUCCCAGUUUCUUCCCUCUGAACUUUGUAAACUUUGCUCCAUUGCUUUCUGGUAUUAAACCACGGUUGUGGACAAGCCUGGGGACAGUUUCUUUCCCCUUGGAUGGAUGAACUUUUUUUUUCCUACUUAGAUUUCCUGAUUCUUUCUUUAGUCUUGAAUAUUGGUGACUUUACCGGGUUAUGACUCAAUCGCUAUUUUUAUUCAUUAGUUUUUCUGAAUCAUAGUAUGCCUUCUUGAUGAGUAGAUUUAAUCAUUCCUUUGUUUUGAGGAUUUAUUCAUGUUAUGAGCACUUUUCUACUCCAGUAGUUGGUCUUUUCUUCGGUGAAAUAAUCUGUUUUGUUCAUUUCAUUAUGUGCUGGAGGAGAAGAAAGUCUGUCAUCUGGCCCCUUGCUGCCAUCUCUGUCUGCACAUCAGUCUGUUGUCAUUUGCACUGUGCAUUUGUCUAUUUAAAACAAUCCUACACAGAUGCCCCCUCCUCAGUGUCACCUUCCACCCUGGCAGGAUGCCUUAUGGCAAUGCCCACUUCUGAGAUAGUCGUGGGAGCCAGCCCCACUGGCCAGGUAUGUGAAUUUUCUGUUAACAAUGGAAGAUUUUGAAAAACCAUAUAUGCUGUACCAUUAACCCCAAGCAUACAAUCUAUCCUUAGGAAGACUUCCUGGAAAUUAUGCUCACCUUUGGGGAUGAGGCCAUGAUUCUGAGCUUUGGAGGACUUCCUGGACACAAGGCCUGUGUAAGGAAAGGAUUGUUACUGUCAGCCUCGAUGCUAAUGUGAGAUAAGGGAAUGUAUCCUGCUCUGAUCCAAAUGCCGAGUUUCUGUGCACUUGGCCUCUCCACCAUCAAGCUCCCUGGAAGUGCUUCUCAGGCGUGCACCCACCUUGGCUAAGGCGUUGAGGUCUGGGUGGCUGCAGGGUCCAGGAUGGGAUGGUUGAAUAUGGGGCGUGUGCUUUCUUUUCAACCCUCUUGCAGUCAGUCUGCUAACCCUCAAUGUUCACUGUCUCCUAGGGGGACUUCCUGGAGGAGGCCAACUUUGGAGAAGAGGCACUGACACCGGGUCUGUGCUAGCGUGAGGUACUUGAAGAUAGGUUAUCCGUGUUGCCUUCGCUUUAUUUGUGACGAAUCAUACACGGUUGACCUAUUUUUCAGUACCAAAUCCCGCCUUGGAGGGCUUCCUGGAGCGGAAUCUCACUUCAGGGCAGGACCUUGGUGUCAGCUCCUCUCCA